Molecule: ribosomal RNA, 685 nt
Filed under: Cyclidium glaucoma
Lineage: Eukaryota; Ciliophora; Oligohymenophorea; Pleuronematida; Cyclidiidae
Description: eukaryotic LSU rRNA
Rfam family: Eukaryotic large subunit ribosomal RNA
Source: RNAcentral
CACCUGAGUUCAGCAAGAUAACCCGCUGAACUUAAGCAUAUCAGUAAGCGGAGGAAAAGAAACUAACAAGGAUUGCCCCAGUAGCGGCGAGUGAACAGGCAAAAGCUCAAAAUGGAAAUCCUUUUUGUAGAGAAAAGGAAUUGUAAUCUAGAGGACGGUUGCGAAGGCAUAGUUUCAGCAUGAGUUCCUUGGAAUAGGACGCCAAAGAGGGUGAUAGCCCCAUACAUGGCUGAGGCUGGCUGUAGGAGCUGUUUCAAAGAGUCGGGUUGUUUGGGAUUGCAGCCCUAAGUGGGAGAUAAACUUCUUCUAAAGCUAAAUAUUGAUGGGAAACCGAUAGCGAACAAGUACUACGAAGGAAAGAUGAAAAGAACUUUGAAAAGAGGGUUAAAAGACUUGAAAUCGUUGAGUAGGAAGCGGUUGGAGGGCAGUCACUUGCAACGAUAUUGGCGAGAGCAGGCCGGUCGCUGGGGGAAAAGGUACGAAAGGCCUAUUUUUCAGACGAUAACGGACAGCUGCGUCUUAUUCGAAAGCAAAAGACAGAUUGGACACCAGAGUGCGGGAAUAAACGGAAGGGGUCGAACCAGGUCUGACUUGGAGCCCUGACGCAGAAACCGGGACUCGGUGUUGAGGGAAAUCCUGCGGGAGAAUCUGUCACGACGUCUCCAACUGACCCGUCUUGAAACAC